RNAcentral lists this ribosomal RNA (807 nucleotides) under uncultured bacterium. RNAcentral's name for it is "bacterial SSU rRNA". It matches the Rfam family "Bacterial small subunit ribosomal RNA", at positions 8 to 812 of the family's 1533-position model. The record is from RNAcentral.
AGAGUUUGAUCCUGGCUCAGGAUGAACGCUGGCGGGCGUGCCUAACACAUGCAAGUCGAACGAAGCAUACACCACGGAAGCCUCCGGGCGGAAGAGGGGUAUGACUGAGUGGCGGACGGGUGAGUAACGCGUGGGCAACCUGCCCUGUACCGGGGGAUAACACCCAGAAAUGGGCGCUAAUACCGCAUAAGCGCACAGUGCCGCAUGGCACGGUGUGAAAAACUCCGGUGGUACAGGAUGGGCCCGCGUCUGAUUAGCUAGUUGGCAGGGUAACGGCCUACCAAGGCAGCGAUCAGUAGCCGGCUUGAGAGAGUGACCGGCCACAUUGGGACUGAGACACGGCCCAAACUCCUACGGGAGGCAGCAGUGGGGAAUAUUGCACAAUGGGGGAAACCCCGAUGCAGCGACGCCGCGUGAGUGAAGAAGUAUUUCGGUAUGUAAAGCUCUAUCAGCAGGGAAGAAGAUGACGGUACCUGACUAAGAAGCCCCGGCUAACUACGUGCCAGCAGCCGCGGUAAUACGUAGGGGGCAAGCGUUAUCCGGAUUUACUGGGUGUAAAGGGAGCGUAGACGGCAUGGCAAGUCAGAUGUGAAAGCCCGGGGCUCAACCCCGGGACUGCAUUUGAAACUGUCAGGCUGGAGUGCAGGAGAGGUAAGCGGAAUUCCUAGUGUAGCGGUGAAAUGCGUAGAUAUUAGGAGGAACACCAGUGGCGAAGGCGGCUUACUGGACUGUAACUGACGUUGAGGCUCGAAAGCGUGGGGAGCAAACAGGAUUAGAUACCCUGGUAGUCCACGCCGUAAACGAUGA